CCUACGGGAGGCAGCAGUGAGGAAUAUUGGUCAAUGGGCGGAAGCCUGAACCAGCCAAGUAGCGUGCAGGAUGACGGCCCUCCGGGUUGUAACCUGCUUUUAUACGGGCAUAACGCGCAUUGCGUGUAGGGCUUUGCAUGUACCGUAUGAAUAAGGACCGGCUAAUUCCGUGCCAGCCGCCGCGGUAAUACGGAAGGUCCGGGCGUUAUCCGGAUUUAGUGGGUUUAAAGGGAGCGUAGGCCGCAUGGCAAGCGUGCUGUGAAAUGCCCGGGCUCAACCCGGGCCUGGCAGCGCGGACUGGCGGGCUUGAGUCCGCGGAAGGCAGGUGGAAUU
Molecule: ribosomal RNA, 333 nt
Filed under: uncultured bacterium
Lineage: Bacteria
Description: partial 16S ribosomal RNA
Rfam family: Bacterial small subunit ribosomal RNA
Source: RNAcentral